GAUAGAGAGCUUGCUUUUCUUGAUUAGUGGCGCACGGGUGAGUAAUGCAUAGAUAAUGUGCCCCUUAGUUCGGGAUAGCCACUGGAAACGGUGAUUAAUACCGGAUACUCCUUCUUGUUAUAAGACAAGUCGGGAAAGUUUUUCGCUAAGGGAUCAGUCUAUGUUCCAUCAGCUUGUUGGUGAGGUAAUGGCUCACCAAGGCUAUGACGGAUAUCUGGUUUGAGAGGAUGAUCAGACACACUGGAACUGAGACACGGUCCAGACUCCUACGGGAGGCAGCAGUGAGGAAUAUUGCACAAUGGAGGAAACUCUGAUGCAGCAACGCCGCGUGGAGGAUGACGCAUUUCGGUGUGUAAACUCCUUUUAUUAGGGAAGAUAAUGACGGUACCUAAUGAAUAAGCACCGGCUAACUCCGUGCCAGCAGCCGCGGUAAUACGGAGGGUGCAAGCGUUACUCGGAAUCACUGGGCGUAAAGGGUGCGUAGGCUGGCUUUUAAGUCAGAUGUGAAAUCCAAUGGCUCAACCAUUGAACUGCAUUUGAAACUGAAAGCCUAGAGUUCAGAAGGGGCAGAUGGAAUUAGUGGUGUAGGGGUAAAAUCCGUAGAUAUCACUAGGAAUAUCAAAAGCGAAGGCGAUCUGCUGGGAUGAU
Molecule: ribosomal RNA, 648 nt
Filed under: uncultured bacterium
Lineage: Bacteria
Description: bacterial SSU rRNA
Rfam family: Bacterial small subunit ribosomal RNA
Source: RNAcentral